AUUGAACGCUGGCGGCAGGCCUAACACAUGCAAGUCGAGCGGAUGAAGGGAGCUUGCUCCUGGAUUCAGCGGCGGACGGGUGAGUAAUGCCUAGGAAUCUGCCUGGUAGUGGGGGAUAACGUCCGGAAACGGGCGCUAAUACCGCAUACGUCCUGAGGGAGAAAGUGGGGGAUCUUCGGACCUCACGCUAUCAGAUGAGCCUAGGUGGGAUUAGCUAGUUGGUGGGGUAAAGGCCUACCAAGGCGACGAUCCGUAACUGGUCUGAGAGGAUGAUCAGUCACACUGGAACUGGGACACGGUCCAGGCUCCUACGGGAGGCAGCAGUGGGGAAUAUUGGACAAUGGGCGAAAGCCUGAUCCAGCCAUGCCGCGUGUGUGAAGAAGGUCUUCGGAUUGUAAAGCACUUUAAGUUGGGAGGAAGGGCAGUAAGUUAAUACCUUGCUGUUUUGACGUUACCAACAGAAUAAGCACCGGCUAACUUCGUG
RNAcentral lists this ribosomal RNA (484 nucleotides) under uncultured bacterium. RNAcentral's name for it is "partial 16S ribosomal RNA". It matches the Rfam family "Bacterial small subunit ribosomal RNA", at positions 30 to 507 of the family's 1533-position model. The record is from RNAcentral.